This is a long non-coding RNA of Drosophila novamexicana, 173 nucleotides long. RefSeq lists it as uncharacterized. Lineage: Eukaryota; Metazoa; Arthropoda; Insecta; Diptera; Drosophilidae. The record is from RefSeq and is a predicted model, not a curated record. The transcript is spliced from 3 exons.
CAUUGAGGGCGAUUAUCCCUGAGAUAUGAGAUAUUAGCGUUCAAGUGCAAGGAAUAUCUCUAAGCUUCUAUACAUGAUUUCCUGUAAGUUGACAUUUCCUGCACUUAAACAGAAUAUCUCUACUCUUCAUAACUUAAGGCAGACCGACAUUUCUUCCAACUUCACUUCAAUAG